GUAACAUUUGACACUAUCACACUGUUUGUAAAUGUUUUAAGACUCUUAAUCUGAUAUCUCCGGUUAUAGCAGUAUUCUAAAUAUGAUAAUGCAUUUAAUAAUAAUUGUUAAAUGAAUUUACCUCAGUGGCUCCUGAAAACAAUCAUUUGGCUGCCCAACUGAAAUCUGAGUUACAGGCAUAAGUUUGAAAGAAAAUCCAACCCAUUCAAAUGGAAUUGAGCAACUAAGCUUGGAAAGUGUAACUUUUAAGAAGUGAUGGGUAUUGUAUGUACAUUUAUCAGAACUAGGGAAGGGGAACACCAAGAUGGAGAGACAAAAGGUAACAGGCAAACCAAGCAACAGCAAUACUUACAAGACAGUAUGCUGUAAACCAACAGUACAAUUCAGGAGAGGAUAGGGAGGGAACUGGGAAGACGGGAAGGUUUGAGAAAAAUGACAGAGGAGGUAAAGGGUUUGGUAAGAAAUGUACUCAUUGCCUUAUGUAUGCAACUGUGACCCCUCUGUACAUUGCUUUGACAAUAAAAAAAAAAAGAGAAGUGAUUGGGCCCCAAGCUAGGUAAAAUUCUGCAAACUGAAAUGCACAAUCAUACUCCUUCCCUCCCAUGGACAUGAUGGGGUAAGAAUAAAUGGCCUUGAUUUUAGUUCCAAUUUUGUGAUCUAAAUAUAGCACCUGAAUCAUAACUGAUUAGUAUAAACUGCUGUGUCUAUUUGGUAUUCCACUAUUUCAUAAGCGUUUAUUUCGUUUAGUGCUAUACUUACUCAUUUUUAUAUAAAAUUUCCCACGGUUACAAGAGGUCCUGGACAGCACAGCACUUGAAGUAGGCAAGAUUCUUUCUCUCUAGUUGCUAGCUCUGCUCCUCUGCCAGUCUAUCCCUUUAAAACCACGUGGUAUCAACCUGGUCUCUGAAAUGUAGAGUUCCCCUUGAGUAUCCUGCCUGGGCUUUGCUCAGAACCUAACUCUUAUCAGACUUUUUCCUUCCCC
This is a long non-coding RNA of Perognathus longimembris pacificus (Pacific pocket mouse), 982 nucleotides long. RefSeq lists it as uncharacterized. The transcript has 3 exons. Lineage: Eukaryota; Metazoa; Chordata; Mammalia; Rodentia; Heteromyidae. The record is from RefSeq and is a predicted model, not a curated record.